Molecule: long non-coding RNA, 10464 nt
Filed under: Panax ginseng (ginseng)
Lineage: Eukaryota; Viridiplantae; Streptophyta; Magnoliopsida; Apiales; Araliaceae
Description: long non-coding RNA (PGIN_LNC016594)
Source: RNAcentral
AGGUGACAGUUUGUAAAGAGACAGAGAAAGAGGAGAGAGAUGGGUUGCUUUGCCUGUUUUGACGGAGGCAAGCAGCAGAGGAAGGAAGAAGACCGUUUAGCCUCUCAAGAAGCUCGAGCUAAAGCCGCCGAAGCAGCCGAAAAGAGGCAUUUCUCUCUCUGUUUCCCCUCUUAUCAAUCAUUUAUAUUUGAAUUGAUUUCUUGUUUUUUAAUCAUUCAAAUGUUAAUUUAAGAUUUGUUAUUCAGCUAUAUUCGUCCGGUAAUUCACUCUAGUGCGUUAAGUUUUGUGUUUUCAACUAGUAUUUUAGUUGUCUUACAUAAUUGUUAGGGCUUCUUGUAUUGUUUACGAUUUCAAUUUUUGAUCAUCAAAUGUAAUUGUAACAAUUUAGAGAUAGGGCUCCUACUAGAAAAUUUGAGCAUCAUUUGGAUGCCAUUUUUUGUAUUUAAAAUGAGCAUUUGCCUGUAAGGAUCUGAAUUCAGUCCUUACUCACAAUUAAACUAAACUUCAAGAGAAUUAUAAGAGAACCAGAGAUUUGAGAAGAGACUAAGGAAAAGAGAGGGAAAAAUAUUAGGAUACAGAGAGGAAAAGUAGAGUAAGAUCAGGAAAAUAUAGAGAGAGGAACAUAACAAAGCAUUUUCAUACCAUUUACUGAGUACAUCAUAUGUAUUUAUAGACUUACAGCCAAACAACUCUACUCUGUAACAACUUUUCAGCUAAAAUUAAAUACAACACAUUUUAUUUGGAAAUGACAUCUCUACCCAACCAACUAUGUUUAACUACUAAACUAACACCAUAACAAUUCCUCACAAUCCCCUCUCCUUAAAAAGAUCCUUGUACUCAAGGAUGGAAAGUUGGAAAUUGAGCAUGAAUAUUUGACCAAGUCUCCCAAGUAGCUUCAAAAGGUAAAAGUAAUAGACCAUUGGAUUAAGACUUCAGCAACGACUGCAUUAUUCUUCUUUACCAAUUUGAGAUCAAUGACUGCAAUAGGCUCUAUAAUGAACUGUCCAUGAUCAUCUACAUGGCAAGACCUGAGACACUUGUGCUGCAGUACUAAUUUUUUUCUUUAAGAGAGAAACAUGGAACACAGGAUGAAUUUUAACUUAAGCUAGUAGCAACAACUUAUAAGCAACAGGUCCAAUCCUUUCAAGCACCUGAAAUGGCCCGUAAUAUUUUGAAUCCAACUUAGAAUACUUGGACUGUUUCAUAGAAAUUUGUUUGUAGGAUUGAACUCUUAAGUAUACCAUAUUUCCCACAUUAAAGACCCUCUCUUGCCUAUUCGUUUAGCAUAAUUCCUCAUUCUACACUGAGCCUUAGCCAAAUUAUCUUUCAAGAGCGGCAACAAUUGAUUCGUAGAAGCACAAAACUGCCUCGCUGUAGGAUUAGAAAUUUGGCCAUAUUGAUGGAAAGAAAUGCGGGGAGCUGCAUAGCCAUAUAAAGCUUGAAAAGGAGUAAGUUGGGCACCACUGUGGUAAUGGGUGUUGUACCACCAUUCAGCAAGUGACAACCAUUCGUUCUAAGUCUUUGGUCUUUGACUACACAUGCAUCUUAAGUAAGUCUCUAAACACCGAUUUAACUUCUCAGACUGACUAUCAGUUUGAGGAUGAUAUGAUGUGCUAAGUUGCAAAUGGGUACCCAAUGACUUAAACAAUGACUGCCAGAAAUGCCCAAUAAAAUUUUUAUACCUAUAUGAAACUAUUGAUAAAGGUAAUCCAUGCAGUUUAUGAAUGUUGUCGAGGAAUAUAAUUGCUACAUCAGUAGUAGCCAGUAAAUGGAUGUUUCAACCCCAAAAAAUGAGCAUAUUUGGUAAGUCUUUCUAUGACUACCAUGAUAGAAGUAUAUCCAAUGUGAAUUAGAUAACACUUCAAUAAAAUCCAUGGCAAUAACCUUCCACAGUGUUUCAAGAAUAGGUAAAGGUUGUAACAACCCCGAAGUAACACUAGUUUUAUGCUUGCUUAACUGACAAACCUCACAUUCUUUCACAAAUGUAAUCACAUCAGAUCUUAAAGUGGGCCAAUAAAAAUAUUGAGAUAUUCUUUCAAAAGUACCUCUUCUUCUUGAAUGACCCCCAAUAGGAGAACUGUCUUGUAAAAGUUUGAGCCUUACCUCUGAGGAAUUACCCACAACCAACUUACCCUUAUACCGCAACCUUCCAUUCUCAAAAGAAUAAUCAGGGACUAAGGAAGAAUCCAAUACUAACUGAGAGAUAAUUUGCUGCAGUUCUGGAUCAGUUGCCCUAGUUUCAGCCAAAUCUUGAACCCAUUUAGGUGGCACUAUAGGGAGGGCCAAGCAGUUUAGAACCCCAGUUUCCAUUACACACAUAAGAUUUCCAACAGGAUGCCUAGACAAUCCAUCUGCUGCUAAAUUCUCCCGGCUUUCCUGUACCAGAUUUCAUAAUCCAGUCUCAUGAGCUUGGUAAUCCAUUCUUGUUGAUUAGUAGUAGUGAUUCGUUGAUCCAACAAAUACUUGAGACUUUGAUGGUCUGUUUUAAUAAUGAACUUGUUGCCCACUAGAUAAUGUCUCCAUUUUUGCACUGCAUAUACCACAACCAUCAGUUCCUUCUCAUAGGUCGAUAAUCCCAAAUGCUUAGGAGCAAUAACCUUACUUAAGAAAGCAAUUGGUCUGUUCCUCUUCAUUAACACUUCCCCUAUACCAAUACCACUAGCAUCCGUCUCAACUACAAAUGGGAUGGUGAAAUCGGAUGUAGCUAAAACUGGAGCAUUAAUCAUAGCUUGUUUAAGGUUGUCAAAGGCUACCUCAGCUUCAUGACUCCAUUGGAAGUGGUCUUUCCUUAACAUAUCAAUUAAUGGUUUGCUGAGAAAACCAUAAUGUUUUAUAAAUUUUCUAUAAUAAUAUCCUGUUAAGCCCAAGAAUUCCCUUAGACUCUUAAGGUUCAUGGGUUUGGGCCACUGAACCAUACACUCAACCUUAGUUGAAUCAGUUGACACACCUUCAGAAGUAAUAACAUGACCAAGGUACUGUACCUGUUGUGUAGCAAAGGUACACUUGGAUAUUUUUGCAUACAAUUCAUGUUGCCUUAACAACUGUAGAGUCAUCUCAAUGAAAACCAAGAUAAAUUUCCUCAAGUAAGGAGCAUACAUAACAUUAAUGAGACUUUGAAAAGUAGUUGGUGCAUUAGUUAACCCGAAUGAUAUUACUUUAAAUUCAUAAUGAUAUGUAUGAGUUCUAAAAGCAGUUUUAGGAAUAUCUGGAGGAUGAACUCUAAUCUGGUGAUAACCAGAGCUCAAAUCCAACUUAAAAUACCAUUUUGCACCAUAAAGCUCAUCUAACAGCUCAUCAAUUGCAGAUAUAGGAAACUUGUCCUUAAUAGUAACAUCAUUCAAAGCCCUAUAAUCAAUACACAUUCUCCAUGUGUUGUCAUGUUUUUUAACCAAGAAAACUGGGAAAGCAAAUGGACUACUACUGUUUUGGAUAACCCCAAUUUUUAGUAAGUUAGCAACAAUUUUCUCAAUCUCUGAUUUUUGAACAUAAGGGUAUCUAUAAGGCCUCAAAUUAAUAGAUUGGCUGCCUUCCUUCAAGUUAAUGUGGUGAUCAUAAGAUCUCACAGGAGGCAAACCUUGUGGUUCUGCAAUUACAUCAGAAAAAGAAGCUAACAACUCUUGCAACUUAGGACAAGGAGUUGUAGGACUGCACUCCUCACACUCCAUAAUACCAUACAAAUACCCAAAAAAUCCCAUGGGAAGUAGUUUGUAACACCUUCUUAAAUUCUCCGGAAUUCAUAAGGUGUAUAGUAGGAGUAACAUAUGUGUUUUCCCCUUGCAAUAUUACUGAUUCCUCAUCUCGAUAAAACUGAAGUUGUAAUUUGUUGAAGUCAAAAGUAACUGGACUCACUAUUUUCAACCAUUGAACCCCAAGUACUGCAUCAACUCCUCCCAAAGGAAAUACCCUCAUCUCAGUAUUAAAGUCCAGAUUCUGAAUUUGCCAUUUAAAAUCAGUAGACACUUGAGUGUUGUAUACUUGGAAGCCAUCAACCACAAACACUGUUACUGCAUUAGUAUCCAAAAAAUUCAAUGAGAAUACUCAAUGUUCCUUGCACUAUAAUUUUGUUGUUUGCAUUGUGGCCUGACAAAACAUGUUAACUUAUCUGAACAUCAUCUAACUUGCCAUCUGGUAGCAAUUUAUUUUGCUCUACCUAAGGCACCAAUUUUGGUUCACACACAAUUUGUUCCUUUGAAUCCCAAUUUGAUUCCUCUUCCUCAGAAGGUAUCAUCAUAAACAAGUGGGGUUGCUUGCAGACUGGAACAUAGGAUUCGUCACAUGAGAAACACAGGCCUUUCUUUCUUUUCUCAAAAAUUUGUUCCCUGGUUAGGUUUCUAAUAGGCAAGAUCUUUUUAGGUUCAACUGUAUUAACUCCCAUUCUAAUAUCUACAUUAAUGUUUCCAGAGUUCCCCAUUCCUACACCACUAGGAAACCUUUGCACACCAGAUGCUACAAUAGAAGUUCUGUUGACCAGAUUACUGUUAGUAGAAGGCCUCAAAACAAUUCUACUCCUUUUAAUCCAAGCUUCUAAUUUGGUUUCCUCAACUCUAGCUAAACGAAUAGCUUGUAAAACUCAACUCUUGGAUACCUAAUUGAAUCUUCUCACGUAAGCCCCCAACAAAACAAUCAACAAAAAAUUCUUCAUUCAAUUUAGAAUUCUUUAUUAAAGCCCAACCCCCGAGAUCUUUAAAUUUAGCUCUAUAUUCAUCCACAGUUCAUGUUUGUUGCAAUUUUUUGAGCUCAACUAUAGGAUUAACUUUAGUCUCAGGACUAAAUCUAGCCAACAGUUCAUCAAUUAACCCAUUCCAUGUCAUUUCAACUCCACUUUCAACAAAGCUAGAAUACCAAAUUUCAGCUUCUCUUUCAAGAUGCAUAGUGGCUAAGUAGAGCUUCUGAUUCUCAGCAACGUUAUGUUGAGAAAACAAUUUAUUAGACUUCCUAAUCCAUGACCAAUGUUCUAAAAGGCGGGAGGUGGGAGGCCGGGGGGUCUAGCGCCUAGGGGGCCUAGACUGAAUUUUUUAUUUUAAGUCAAUUUUAAUAUUUUAUCUUACAUUUAUCCAAACAAAACAAUAAUAUAAAGCAAAACAAUCUAUAAUAAAGAUAAUAAAUGUUUUUACUUAAAGUUCAAACACAUAUCCAUAUUGCUAAUGUCAAAGUUCAAACACAAACAAAUUAAAAUUAAUUUCUUAAAAAUCAAAUUGAGAUAUUUUUAAAUUUAAAUAAAUGUUAUUUUUAAAAAUUAGUGUGAAGUUUAUUGAAUGAGACAUUUGAUAUUAUUAAUUAUAAAAUUAUUUUUAUUUGUGUAAUGUUCAAAAUUGAGAACUUAAAGAAAAUGACAAAUACCAUAAGCUAAGUAUGACUAACAUAUCUUUAACGUAUUAGUUUUAUUCAUAAACAAGAUUGCUAUUAAAUAAUAAAAUUUAAAUUGCCCGCCUAGAGGGAUUUUUUGCCGCCUUGGACCUAGGCGAGGCGCCAGGGGGCCUAGCGCCUAGGCGGCCGCCUAGGCCGCUUUUUAAAACACUGUCCAUGACCUAGGGUUAGUACCGUAGAAUUUAGAAAAUUCAAAUUUGAUCGUGCGAAAUAUUCCUUCAUAGUUACUGAAUGAAGAAACACCUCCUUCAUAAGGUCCAAGGACAGAUUCGGUAGGAUGCUGAGUUGAAGAUGGAGGAACAAUACCUGAGGGUAGUCUAUCAACUCCAGAUGAAUUCGAACCUUGUUUAUGAUUCUAAACUAAUAACAUAGCUUCAAAUCCUUUCAACAUCUGUUCCAAUUUCUCAUCCAAUCCUUUAUUCAACGAUUCUACCGAAGAUUGCAGCUGAUUUUGUAGAUCCGGGACGUUAUUCUCUAAGUUAGUUAAUCGUUGAUUAUUAGUAGCCAUGGCUGCCAAUCGACUGAGCUUUGAUAUCAAUUGUAAGGAAUUGAGAUUUGAAUUCAGUCCUUACUCACAAUUAAACUAAACUUCAAGAGAAUUAUAAGAGAACCUGAGAUUUGAGAACAGACUAAGGAAAAGAGAGGGAAAAAGAUUAGGAUACAGAGAGGAAAAGUAGAGAUAAGAUCAGGAAAAUAUAGAGAGAGGAACAUAACAAAGCAUUUUCAUACCAUUUACGGAGUACAUCAUAUGUAUUUAUAGACUUACAACCAAACAACUCUCCUCUAUAACAACUUUUCAGCUAAAAUGAAAUACAACACAUUUUAUUUGGAAAUGACAUCUCUACCCAACCAUGUUUAAUUACUAAACUAACACCAUAACAAUUCCUUACAUUGCCUUCCCUUUAUGGUGACGAAGAAAGUGAUAUGGUGUCUUGUUUUAGAUUCCUCGAUAGUGACUUGUAGCAUAUUGCUUUUGAAUUUUUGAUUGAUUAUGGAAGGAAUCCGGAUAAUUUAUCAGUUUGUUGACAUAUUCCAGUGAGUACCUUCAAAGAUAAUUUGUUAAGAGUCACAAACAUUACAUUUGGAAGAUAAGAAAUAGGGGAGAUUUUCUUUAAACAAACAGGGCCUUGGUUUGAAACCAUCUCUUGGGAAGUGAAUACAAGCUACCAGUUGCACCAAUUUAUUCAUGAUAUCAAGCAAUUGAGUACAAAGGUUUAAAUUGUCUUUUGCUGUUUGAUUUUGUAGUUAUGAGAUUUUUAUUAACGCAGUAACUCGAGCAUUAUGUGGUUACACGAAGACAUAUAAGUAGUUUUGGCAACUUGUAUGUCAAAUUGCACAAGACGCACACAUGAGACUAACACAUGCACUAUUGCUACUCCCUCCGUCCCAUAAUACUGCAACACACUUUUUUGCACAAAGUUUAAGAAAUUUUUAAAUUUUUAUUUGGUUUCCUGAUUGGUCCCUAUAAAGUGUGCGGUUGAGAAUGAUCUAAGAAUGUGAACCACAAAAUGUUUAGUUAGUGGAGGGAUCCACUAUUAUUUCAAACGAUAAAAUUGAUACGACUAUGAGUCUAUUAGUCAUCUAACUUCACAAAUAUUUCUCAAAAAGGACAUGUUGCAAUUUUUUUGGGACUUCUUAGAAAGGGUUGUGUUGCAAUAGUUGUUGGGACGAAUGGAGAUUUAUUUAUCUCCUCUAUGCAUGGACAGCUUUUGUUUUACAUAAUUAAGAUUAGAUAUGUUUCUUGCAUAUUAGUUAUGGGCAAUCCUUCCAGUGAAAAAUGCCUAAUGUAUGAUUUUAUUCCCUUGACGUGAGUUAAAAUUGUGAAUCUUGGUCUCACAUUUUUUAUGAUUGUAUCCAGUUUCGACCUGAAAAAAGUAAGAAAAUUGGAAGUGAGAAAAAGGGGAGAAUUCUGGUGAGUUUACAGUCAGUUACGCUACUGCCAAUGAUAGGAUGGGACUUGAAACCUCCAAAAGCGUGUGUUGUGGCUGUCUGUAUAGGAUUAACUCUUAAACCAUAUUGCAUAUAAGGUUACUAAAGAACAAAGACGGUGUUUGGAUGAGCUGAUUUUUUUAAAAUUUCCUUGAAGUGUAAUAAGCUUUUACGAAUAAAUUGAUACAAAUAAUUCUACCUUUUGUGGUUUACAUCAAAGUUUGAGGGGAGAAAAAUUGGGCGACCACCUGGGUGGUGGUGUGGUGCCACAGACUAAGGCGAUUUGACUACUACGGUUUCUGGUAUAUCCAUUAAUACAAAAAAAAAUUUGGAUUGCCUAUCUAUGAUACUGUGUCUAACCAAGUCAAUUAUGGCUCAAUUGCAGGCAAGAGCAAUUUGAUAAGUCCGCUGCAGGAAGAGCUGCACGUGCACAGAUAGCAGCUGCUGCAAAACAAUCUGCUAACACUAACAAAGGCGAGCCAGUUCUUAAGGUAUUAUUGAUGGUUAUUCCCAUUUUCUAGUUUCAAUGCUAGCACUAAUGAUGCUUUAUAUGACUGUAUUUUUUUUUUUAUUAUUAUUAUUGCUAUAUUCGACUGAAAUUUUAACAUUCUUGCCUUUGGCAAGAAUGGAUCCCAAGACCUCAUGCACCUCAAGCCUUAUGAGUAGUUUUUUACCAUUGAGACAUGAGGAGCUUGGUUAUAUAUGACUGUUUGCAGUCUCAGUGCCUCCUUUUUGUUUUAUCUUAUUACUAGUAUGGAAUUAAGUAUAUACAUAUGGUAGUAUUCUGCCUGCUUGAGUUUCUAAGGAAUAUGAAAGUGACUACUGACUUUGAUUUAUAUUUACAAUGUGCACAGUGGCAGAUGGGAUGAGGAACAGCUUUCUUAGCUUAGUUUUGGACAUUUAAAGUAAGUAUGUGUUUCACUGAAUAUUUUUUCUGUCAACUAAUCUUCUUACUUUAUGUGAUUGCUGGGGAUGGAAAUUAGGGUUUUAUAAUUGGUGGGGAAUUUGUGGAAGAAUUGGGGAGAAGAGGGAAAAGAAAACCAAUCUAUAUGUUCAAAACUCUUGUAAUAUUUCUGACUAUUAUAAUAACCUUUAAAGUUUACUAAGCAACUAACUCAAACAUGAUACUAUUAAAAUUAUAAAUAAAAUAAUAUUACAUUCUAUAAAAUUCUCCUUGUUGGACUUUGGACUCUCUGGAUGGGUUUCUAAAGUCUUGUCCUGCACAGGUGGUGGUCAAUUUGACUCUCCUUGGGUUUGUAUUUACUAGGCAACUCGCACUUUGUGUUCCAUUAAAGUAAUUAUUCAUCUCAGAUUUGUCAUUAACCAUUAAAGCAGUUAUUCAUCUCAGAUUUGUCAUUAACCAUUAAAGCAAUUGUUGAUUUGCAUACAUAGAUAAAAAUACCUGAGUAGUUACCUGGAUCAUUAGUUAUUAUAGUUGAUUUGUCAUACAUACAUCACUAACAAUACCUGAUUAGUUGCCUGGAAUAUUGGUUAUCGUCAUUGAUUUGAUUCCUCUCAAAAGUUCUUUAAAAAACUUCAGUUUAGAAAGGCGUGCUCUGCAUUUUUAGGGUUGUCAUUAGUGCGAGACUUGUUGGUUAAAAAUCAUGUCAGUGCAAAUAUCUGCUUUGGUUCAAGAAUUACACUGGUGGCAUAGUAUUAGGGCUUGCUACAGAGCAGGGAAACAUGUUUUGAUUAUGUUAAUGAUUCUCUAAUCUCUCUGAAUCAUUGUCUGACAACAAUCCAGAUUGAUCUCAAGUUUGUGGGGAAGAAAUUGUUGGAUAUUGCACAAAAACACUCAAAAUUAGAUACAAACACUUCAAUUCAAAAAUACAAUUAGUUAACAGGCAGCAAAACCUCUCACUAAUGUACAUUCGCAUCUCACUCAUCAACACAAUUUGGCAUGCCAAGCAUACGGUAUGGUUCACUUACUGGGGUCUCAUAGCUGUGCCCAGCAUACCCAGAACUCUCUUACAGUACAGCAGUACUCCACGAGACUUGUCUUCCCAGUACGAUACAAGAGCACUCUCACUCUACACUAGCUUUUACCCACUUAACCAUGAGUUCUGUAUUCCCAUACGAGUCCACACAAUGAAGACCAAGGACUUUUGCACAGUUGAGCUUGCUCACUUUAGCAAGUGUGGUGGAGGUUUUAGACUGCACAAUAAUGGCAGUACCUCUGUAGCCGGUAGGAUUUGGAAGUGGAAUAUAACUCUAGAUAAUAUUUUUUGAGAUAGGAGAUAUCUGACAAGAUAUAGUUCUAGCGCCAAAGAAUGGUGGCACAAAGAGAGAGAGAGUGAGAGAGAAAUGGGUACUAGAGAGACAGACAUGGGAGGACUCUGGUGAUAGAUUUUUGGUGAAUAUUCUGCCGGCAGGAGUUUGUGACUAACAAAACUGAUGUUCCCGAUUGUGUGUAGUGGAUCUCUCUUCCUCUACAUUCAUGGUCUCAGACGGGAUAAGCAACCCACAUUCUAAUGGAUCAAUUCAAAUUGUUCAUUUCUUCUUAAUACAUUACCAUAGUCUUCAGCUUUUAUGCAGCAUAUGCUUGCUUAUGUCAAAUAUUGAAUCGGCUUAUGUGGAUAAUUUGUAACAAUUCAUAUUAUUAGUCCAUCCAUUACAGAAAGUAUGCAUACUUUGUUAAUAGUUGAAACCUCGUUAUUUUGUUUCUUCUAUGCAGUGUAUAUGGAUGGAAUAACCAUCAAUCGGAACGAGUUGAAAUCUCUCGAGUAUAAUAUUCCUGGUUAUUUUUUCCUUCUUUUCACGCCCAUUUCCAAUGUUUUAUAUAUUUCCAAGUCCUCUUUGUUUUCUUCUUAUCGAAUUCCUAUAUGUAUAAGCUGUGUACAGUAUAGCUUGUAAUACAUUCACAAUGGGUUUCUGUGGCUCCACCUUUCUUGGAUCAUAUGAUGUGGACUGGGAGGGGCAUGCUCCUGCCAAUGCAAGUGUAUUACUAUCCCCUCCCCUCUGCCCUCCCUUCCCCCUCCCCCUACCCCUCCCUCGGUCCCACCCCCUCCUCUAUUAGAGAAAGAGGCUCAUUUAACUUGGAUCCUCAUUAAUUUUUGAAAACCUAGAAUUUAAAUUAUUAUGUGAAUUUAUUCUAAUUUUAGAAAUGGCAGUUUUGUACUUACUAAUAUAUUUUAAAUAACUUCUAAUAGAAACUAUUGUAUUUAUCAA